GAGAGCACAGUACGAUGAAAGUUGUAAGCUGUGUUUGGGGGGGAGUUAUUGUCUAUCAAAGGCCUCUAUGGUAAAAUAAAUCAAUAAAGUCUAAGAGACGAUGGCUUACCCUGU
This is a non-coding RNA of Marchantia polymorpha subsp. polymorpha, 114 nucleotides long. Lineage: Eukaryota; Viridiplantae; Streptophyta; Marchantiopsida; Marchantiales; Marchantiaceae. The record is from Rfam.